GGAGUCUAGCAUGUGCGCGAGUCAUUGGGACAUGACUAAACCUAAAGGCGCAAUGAAAGUGAAGGUCCGCCUUGCGCGGACCGAGGGAGGAUGGGUGGCCGUUGCGGCUGUCACCCCGCACUCCCGGGGCGUCUCGUUCUCAUUGCGAGAAGAGGCGCACCAAGAGCGUACACGCUGGGACCCGAAAGAUGGUGAACUAUGCCUGGUCAGGACGAAGUCAGGGGAAACCCUGAUGGAGGUCCGUAGCGAUUCUGACGUGCAAAUCGAUCGUCGGAACUGGGUAUAGGGGCGAAAGACUAAUCGAACCAUCUAGUAGCUGGUUCCCUCCGAAGUUUCCCUCAGGAUAGCUGGCGCUCGUAGCGCACGAGUUUCAUCCGGUAAAGCGAAUGAUUAGAGGCAUUGGGGUCGAAACGGCCUCAACCUAUUCUCAAACUUUAAAUGGGUGAGAUCUCCGGCUUGCUCGAACUAUUGAAGCCGCGAGACUCGAAUCAGAGUGCCAAGUGGGCCAUUUUUGGUAAGCAGAACUGGCGCUGUGGGAUGAACCAAACGCCGAGUUAAAGCGCCUAAAUCGACGCUUAUGGGAUACCAUGAAAGGCGUUGGUAACUUAAGACAUCAGGACGGUGGCCAUGGAAGUC
RNAcentral lists this ribosomal RNA (636 nucleotides) under Ommatophorus sp. COL977. RNAcentral describes it as "eukaryotic LSU rRNA". It matches the Rfam family "Eukaryotic large subunit ribosomal RNA", at positions 670 to 1262 of the family's 3401-position model. Lineage: Eukaryota; Metazoa; Arthropoda; Insecta; Coleoptera; Tenebrionidae. The record is from RNAcentral.